CACCAUCUGUUAUACUAUGGGAGCUAGCCAUGCCCGAAGUCGUUACCUUAACCGCAAUGAGGGGGAUGCCGAAGGCUGGGCUAGUGACUGGAGUGAAGUCGUAACAAGGUAGUCAUACUGGAAGGUGCGGCUG
Molecule: non-coding RNA, 133 nt
Filed under: Nicotiana sylvestris (wood tobacco)
Lineage: Eukaryota; Viridiplantae; Streptophyta; Magnoliopsida; Solanales; Solanaceae
Description: Bacterial small subunit ribosomal RNA
Rfam family: Bacterial small subunit ribosomal RNA
Source: Rfam by way of RNAcentral